GCACCGAGAUAACCUCAGAAGAAGCCAGCCACUGUGUCUCUCUAGUGAGUGGAUACAGUGAGAUGAUGGUCAGACUGUUAACUUUCUCCAAGUCUACAAUAAUUUAGGGUUGGCUGUUCUUUGGGCCCUACUUCCAACUUUUUCUUCCUAACCUACUCCUUCUAACUGCCAAGGAGUAUCACUGCUAACACCACCACCAUCAAAUAAUCCGAUCUCAUUAUGGGGUUAUACCCACUGACGUUUUGAUGGAACUUAAAAAACACUGCAAAAUUAAAACCAGCCAGCCUUUCUAGUUGGUUAAAAAUCCGCAUAAAUUAAUGUUCUUUUGUUGCAAACACUGGGCCUAUUUCCCUCUCCUAGCCCGGGAUCCUGCAGCCUAGCACCGAACUACACCCUGGAGCGGCUGCCCGGUUCCCCCUCCUCCUGGGAACAGCUCCACCUCGGGGGCGCUGGAAACGCCCUCCGUGAGUUCCCUGGCACCAGCGGGAGUUUCAAGUUUCCACGCGCGGGGCGGGGGCUGGCGGCGGGCGCACGGCGAGCUUCGGGCCGCGCGGCUCCGCUUCGUUCACUGCGGGCUUCGGACUCGGGCUGACCCG
RNAcentral lists this long non-coding RNA (596 nucleotides) under Rattus norvegicus (Norway rat). Its description in RNAcentral is "long non-coding RNA NONRATT027690". Lineage: Eukaryota; Metazoa; Chordata; Mammalia; Rodentia; Muridae. The record is from RNAcentral.